GAUGAACGCUGACAGAAUGCUUAACACAUGCAAGUCUACUUGAACUUCGGUUUGGGUGGCGGACGGGUGAGUAACGCGUAAAGAACUUGCCUCACAGAUAGGGACAACAUUUGGAAACGAAUGCUAAUACCUGAUAUUAUGAUUUUAGGGCUUCCUAGAAUUAUGAAAGCUAUAUGCACUGUGAGAGAGCUUUGCGUCCCAUUAGCUAGUUGGAGAGGUAACGGCUCACCAAGGCGAUGAUGGGUAGCCGGCCUGAGAGGGUGAUCGGCCACAAGGGGACUGAGACACGGCCCUUACUCCUACGGGAGGCAGCAGUGGGGAAUAUUGGACAAUGGACCAAGAGUCUGAUCCAGCAAUUCUGUGUGCACGAUGAAGUUUUUCGGAAUGUAAAGUGCUUUCAGUUGGGAAGAAAAAAAUGACGGUACCAACAGAAGAAGUGACGGCUAAAUACGUG
This 454-nucleotide ribosomal RNA is filed under the name uncultured bacterium. RNAcentral describes it as "partial 16S ribosomal RNA". It matches the Rfam family "Bacterial small subunit ribosomal RNA", at positions 28 to 507 of the family's 1533-position model. The record is from RNAcentral.